Molecule: long non-coding RNA, 1666 nt
Organism: Numida meleagris (helmeted guineafowl)
Lineage: Eukaryota; Metazoa; Chordata; Aves; Galliformes; Numididae
Source: Ensembl
CUUAAGGUAAAAAGAAAACAUCACCUCAGUUGUAAGAGCUCAUUUAUGAAAGAUGCUCCUAACCUAGCAGAGCUGUACGGAUACGGUGCUGCAAUUCCUCAGUGGGAGCACAUUGUGGAAAGGCUCUGCAGAGUCCUCCUCAUGGCAGGUACUGUAUUCGUGGUGCCUGGCUGAUUUAUAGGCUGCCCUAAAUAACUCGGCUUCCCCCUUCUGACAGCAGAAGUCUGCUUUGUUUAAUCUCACUGCAGGAGGGUCGGUGUCAUCUGUGCUUCUGACCAGCGCUUACUUGUGAACUGACUGAUAACACAUCCUCCAAUGAAGCCAAUACUGACAGAGCAGUAGUUCCUCUGCUGAGGAAGUUAUUUAAAAUACAAAAUAACUAGCUUAUGUUACAUAUUAUUGGAUCUUACAAGAAGAUGCAUGAGAUCUAACUUCCACAGUGUACUUCAGUGAAUUUAUUAUUUCCUAACACUGUAGUGAUUAUGUCUCAGCUGUCUCCAUUAGCUUCAGCUGAGUGCUUUGGCAUUAUGCUGGUAUUGGGUUGGAUCUCAGCAUAAGGAUGGGAGAUAUGUGGCUUCUUGGUCAUCUAGUAACACACAGACUGGAAGAGGGAAUUCUAAAGAGAAGUGCAGAGUAUAAAUGAUAAUGAUGACAAAAAUUUCUGUUUUCAAGGCUUUUCUGGCAAGCCUCUUCCAGCUUGACUGCUGGAGAUCCUUGCUCUUGUGCCUCCUGGAACUUGUUGUCUUCCCACCCACUGCCCAGCUAACACAGUCCUGGACUCCUUGCAACUCUGUCAUCUAUUGCUCACCUGCUCUGGGCUCCUCUGCACAAAACCUCACCUGCUGCUGAACGGUGCACCCCAGUGUAACCCAGUGAGCUGAUGGGGUCCUGUGUCCCUCACAAUAGUCACUCCUCAUUUUUGCAGGCAGUAAAUAGCAAGAGAAUGUGGAGAAAAGAGGGAGAGGAGGAAAGGAAAGGCAAAACGUAAGGAAGUUCAGCCAAGGUUAACAUCAGCAACCAAGUGAAAAGUCAGAAGAGGUCUUCUAGAAUCUCGGAAAUAUUGCUAACGAAAAGGAAGAGAAAGAGAAAAAUCCAAAAUCCUUAACUAUGUUUAGAAUUUUUUGUAGUAUCAAAGAGGUAGUGGAGGUACCACUUCACAGGGAAAGGUAGAAAAAGCCAGAAGUCUAUAGCUCACUUGAAACUCAGCAUGGUAACAGCUAUCAAGACAGAUAAAUGCAGCCUCUGUGGAAGGAGAGCAAUUGUUCAAGGCUGACUUAAGUUGGGAAACUGGGAGUAAGGAGAUGAAGCUGAACAUCAGAUUGCUCAUUACUGAUUAAGUUUUCCUGGAGUCACUGCUUUUAUUAAGAGAGGAGAGGCUUCAGAGGUUGAAGGACUCUACUAGGCAAAAGUGGCUGACAAACAUUGUGAGAAGAUGAUGAAGAGUCUAUUGACAGGACCUUGAGCCAACUUGCCCAGCACACCAGCAGAUUACCACAUGCCAACCAAAUGUGCAAAACUUGAAGAUAUCUCUGUCAAGCUCAAGGAAAAAGUGUGUGUUUGAAGUGGGGAAGUUCUGUCUGGUUGUCAUGGCAAAACACCAUGCUGAUCUCUAACACUUUUAUACAAAUAUAUAUAUAUAUAUAUAUAUAUAAAGGAAUAAUAGGAU